GAAAGUACGUUUUCACCUCGGGUGACAGGGAGACAGGUGGUGCAUGGUUGUCGUCAGCUCGUGUCGUGAGAUGUUGGGUUAAGUCCCGCAACGAGCGCAACCCUUACCCUUAGUUGCGACCAGGUAAUGCUUGAGCACUCUAAGGGGACUGCCGGUGACAAACCGGAGGAAGGUGGGGAUGACGUCAAAUCCGCAUGGCCCUUAUGUCCUGGGCGACACACGUGCUACAAUGGCCAGUACAGAGGGUUGCGAACCCGCGAGGGGGAGCCAAUCCCAAAAAGCUGGCCCCAGUUGGGAUUGCAGGCUGCAACUCGCCUGCAUGAACGCGGAAUCGCUAGUAAUCGCGUAUCAGCUACGGCGCGGUGAAUGCGUUCCCGGGCCUU
RNAcentral lists this ribosomal RNA (383 nucleotides) under uncultured Atribacterota bacterium. RNAcentral's name for it is "bacterial SSU rRNA". It matches the Rfam family "Bacterial small subunit ribosomal RNA", at positions 1003 to 1382 of the family's 1533-position model. Lineage: Bacteria; Pseudomonadati; Atribacterota. The record is from RNAcentral.